Molecule: ribosomal RNA, 253 nt
Filed under: uncultured bacterium
Lineage: Bacteria
Description: partial 16S ribosomal RNA
Rfam family: Bacterial small subunit ribosomal RNA
Source: RNAcentral
UACGAAGGGGGCUAGCGUUGCUCGGAAUCACUGGGCGUAAAGCGCACGUAGGCGGAUUGUUAAGUCAGGGGUGAAAUCCUGGAGCUCAACUCCAGAACUGCCUUUGAUACUGGCGAUCUCGAGUCCGGGAGAGGUGAGUGGAACUGCGAGUGUAGAGGUGAAAUUCGUAGAUAUUCGCAAGAACACCAGUGGCGAAGGCGGCUCACUGGCCCGGUACUGACGCUGAGGCACGAAAGCGUGGGGAACAAACAGG